RNAcentral lists this ribosomal RNA (253 nucleotides) under uncultured bacterium. RNAcentral describes it as "partial 16S ribosomal RNA". It matches the Rfam family "Bacterial small subunit ribosomal RNA", at positions 524 to 776 of the family's 1533-position model. The record is from RNAcentral.
UACGGAGGGUGCGAGCGUUGUCCGGAAUCACUGGGCGUAAAGGGCGCGUAGGCGGUUCGUUAAGUUGCUGGUGAAAUCCCGGGGCUCAACCCCGGAUCUGCCGUGCCGACUGUCAAACUCGAGGGCUGUAGAGGCAGACGGAAUUCCGGGUGUAGCGGUGGAAUGCGUAGAGAUCCGGAGGAAGACCGGUGGCGAAGGCGGUCUGCUGGGCAGUUUCUGACACUGAUGCGCGACAGCGUGGGGAGCAAACAGG